AUUAAUGAUGCCACGUCAUCGGAAGGAAACAGAUGGCGUGACGGAUGAGAAGGUCAAGA
RNAcentral lists this small RNA (59 nucleotides) under Caenorhabditis elegans. Its description in RNAcentral is "Unclassified non-coding RNA T02C12.8". Lineage: Eukaryota; Metazoa; Nematoda; Chromadorea; Rhabditida; Rhabditidae. The record is from RNAcentral.